Molecule: non-coding RNA, 173 nt
Filed under: Tetragenococcus muriaticus
Lineage: Bacteria; Bacillati; Bacillota; Bacilli; Lactobacillales; Enterococcaceae
Also listed under: 1 other name
Description: Lysine sequence
Rfam family: Lysine riboswitch aptamer
About the family: Riboswitches are metabolite binding domains within certain messenger RNAs that serve as precision sensors for their corresponding targets. Allosteric rearrangement of mRNA structure is mediated by ligand binding, and this results in modulation of gene expression. This family includes riboswitches that sense lysine in a number of genes involved in lysine metabolism, including lysC.
Source: RNAcentral
UGAACAGGUAGAGGUCGCAAAUUUCAUUACCUCUGUGGAGCGAAGCAACGCAUAGAAGCAGGGUUAGGGAAAUUGGCCGAAACGAUUUUUUUCUUGCUUGAAUUAUAUCGUUGGGGCGUAAGUAAAUAGCUUGCGUACUGUCUUAGCACAAGCUAAGGUGCGCUAUGUUUUGU